UACGAAGGGGGCUAGCGUUGUUCGGAUUUACUGGGCGUAAAGCGCACGUAGGCGGUUUGUUAAGUCAGGGGUGAAAUCCCAGAGCUCAACUCUGGAACUGCCUUUGAUACUGGCAAGCUCGAGUCCGGAAGAGGUAAGUGGAACUCCUAGUGUAGAGGUGGAAUUCGUAGAUAUUAGGAAGAACACCAGUGGCGAAGGCGGCUCACUGGUCCGUACUGACGCUGAGGUGCGAAAGCGUGGGGAGCAAACAGG
RNAcentral lists this ribosomal RNA (252 nucleotides) under uncultured bacterium. RNAcentral's name for it is "partial 16S ribosomal RNA". It matches the Rfam family "Bacterial small subunit ribosomal RNA", at positions 524 to 776 of the family's 1533-position model. The record is from RNAcentral.